GUUGUCAUGUUUCCAAGGACAUCGCUGAAAGGAUGCAAAAUGGUAAAUAAACCACAUGACUGUGAAAUAAUUACAAGUAACCAAUGAUUUGUGCAAGUGUUUUAUUUAUAAUUUAUUUCCCCAGAUCAAAUGUUCCUUUCCUCUGUCAUGGAGAAAGUGUCAGCUGUUGAAACAAAAGAUACACAUUUACUCAAUGAACAAGAAUAUACAGGAAAUAAUUCUUGAGUGACACUGACCACAUCUACAAUCUUCUCUGCAAACAGCUCUCCUCAGUGGCCCAGCUUGUGCUGAAAAGCUUCUCCAACCUCCUAUUCCAUGUCCCACUACCUCCACUAGGUCGCCGGCACCCCUAAACCUCAGUUUUGUGAAACCACCAUCCACCAGCCAUUACUACCACUAGGCCCCCUGUACCACAUCCACCAGCCAGUGCCCCAUUACUACCACUAGGUCCCCUGUACCACCAUCCACCAGCCAGUGUCCCAUUACUACCACUAGGCCCCCUGUACCACCUCCACCAUCCACCAGCCAGUGCCCCAUUACUACCACUAGGCCCCCUGUACCACCUCCACCAUCCACCAGCCAGUGCCCCAUUACUAACACUAGGCCCCCUGUACCACCUCCACCAGCCAGUGUCCCAUUACUACCACUAGGCCCCCUGUACUACUUACCUCCACUGUCAAGGACCCAUCACCUUCCACUCUGCAACCUGGUGCAGUGUGUGGAAACCCUUCAGCAUCCAUUCAACCUUCAUCCCCUUCCUUCCAGUCAGACAAGCAUGAAUCUCAAGAAAUAACACAUACAAUGACACUAUUUCUACUGGACCUUACAAAAACUCAUCAGCACCUUUAUUUUCGGAACAAAAUGGCAUUCUAUAAAAAAUACAAAACUUAUUCUCACUAAAGGGCUACAACUUGUCAAGUGAGAAAAUUUGAAGCAAACAUGUUAACUUUGGAAACAUGUUAACUACUUAUAAGAGAGUGAAAGACAGGCACCGUGCAACUGGGGAAGGGAAGAUCACCUGGGAUUACUAUACAGUAAGUUGAAGAUUGCUUUACUUUGUUUCUGAAAUAACAUUGUCAUGUGUUACAAGACUGAAACAUUGGUCAUUUUCAUUUUACAUCCGCCCCCACCAGCUAAUGGAUGAAUUAUUUGGGUCAUCAGGGAUCGGUACUGCACCACCUGGCUCCAUUCACUCCACACCUCUGGGUUUGGAAGGGACCUCUUCCACAAGCAGGCCCACAACGUCUUCUCUUCAAGACCAGCCGGUAGGUGCUAGUAUGGAUUAACAGCCAGGAACUGCUACCAUUCAAAAUGCAAACAUCACAAGAAGGCAAAGACGACCACAACCCUUACAAUUCUUGGACACUUAUGAAGAGCAUGCAGAGAGAAGGACUGUUGUGCUUGAGUCCCUGGUAAGGCCAGUUCUGGAGAGAUGGCGGCGACUUAAAAAGAGGCGGAGAAGGUCCUUGAAAAAAAGAUGGUGACCAGCUUUGGAACAAUUGUGGACCAGCAAAAAAAAAAUGGGGAAAAGACAAGAGCAAAUUAUGCAUCUAUUACAGAACCCACACGAACCCCAAUAAAAUUAUAAUCUAAAGAUGUUAUCUCUUUUGAUUUACACCUUUCCCCAAAAUGUCCUAUGCCCCCCACCCCCCAAAUAACACUUUCUAAUGACAAACUAAUUUUGUUCAACAAAACAAAUUUCUUUAUUUCAACACAAAAUCUGUUUGUUUUAUCAUUUGUUGAAUAUUUCUGAACAUUCAAAUCUUUACUUUUCAUCUUUUGUUUUGAAUGUUAAGUAUACACAUACAAGUUCGAUCUGGCCACAAAUCUGGUCUCUAUAAUGACAUGCAUUAGUGUUGUGGGGUUGCUGGGGGUAUGGUUCAUCAUCAACACCAUCACCUACCACAACAACUUGAUCACUGGGCUCUAAACAAAGAUUAUGCUAAAUGCAGCAGGCUGAGACUGCUGAGCUGAUAUUAGAAAUGCUUCUCAUUUGCAGGUAAUGGAGCCUCCUAAACUUAGAUUUUAGAAUGCCAAAUGCAUGCUCAAUGACCACAUAAGAUGCAUUGAGCUUUCUGUUAAAAUAUCUUUGCCUAGCAGACAAGUGGCCAUUGUCUCUAUAAGGCCUCAUAAGUUGAGGCAACAAAGGGUAGGCAGAAUCCCCAAUUAUGUGCAUUCCCUGUGGAACAAGUGAAUGAGGAUCUUCUUCAAGAACAGGAAAAACUUCUGUGAAGUGAAAUGCUCUGGCAUCAUGCCAACUCCCAGGGUGACCCACACUAAUGUGACAGAAACUCCGCUGACUGUCACAAAACCCAGCUAAAUGUACAGAAUUAAACUGUUUCCUAUUCAUGUAUACUAUGGAAUUAUCACAGUGGGGUCUCAUUAUAGGAAUGUGACACCCAUCUACUGCACAUACAGUGUUGGGGAAACCUGCUGUGUCAAACCCUAACUUUGACAUCUCCAGCCUUUGACCUCUGGGCCAGGAUAUGUGGUGGGCCAUGUAUGUGUUAAUAUUGUAACAAAACUCAUGGAGAUGCUUAGCAAGAGUGGAUUUUGACAUGUUAAAUCUAUCUGCCACCCCACGAUAUGACUCCUGAUUCACCAAUGUCCAAAGGCAGGCAAGAACACUGUUCGUGAGUGGCAUUUUGGUCUGUUGAAAAUUAAUAUACACAGGACCAAGGGUAGUGAUGACAUCCUGCAAAGGUAGAAAAAUAGGUAAUCAAGACAACAUGCUAACACUUGUAAUAGUUCAAUGAAUUUUAUAUCAACCAGUCCAGUAGAAACCUCAACUUGUUCUCUGGAAAGCCUGAAAUGACUUCUAAAUUCUGAGAGACUGUAGAGAGGGACAACAUCCUCCACAAAAUUGUCUAUUUUUGGAACCAUUCUAUAUAAGAACAAGAGGAAUUGUACUUACUAUAUACAGUACAUGUAGCCUUCCUAAACACACAUGUAACAUUAGUCAAACAUUUAUCAUCAGUGUUUUAUGUUGAAUAGGGAUUUUAAUUAAAUAAUUAGUCUAUACAGAAGUGUUAAAAUUUAAGUAAAACUCCAUUAUUUAUUUGUCAGAAUGAGUCAUUCUCUCUAAUUAAACCAAAAUAAUAACAAUUAUUGUUAAAAGGCAAGCAACAAUAGCUAUUGAUUACAAAAAAUAAUUGAUUUUCUAUUGCUUCCAGCUCGUCUGCGAUCAAGUAAGCAAACACCACGUGAUCUGCCAUGACUGACGUAAUUGCAGCAAACUACGGGAGCCACAACGUGUCCGGCUUCAUAUCUCCAUUUGCAGCUCCUCCCCAAGGGGCAAGGAACUCGACCGGAAGUUGAAGUCGGGUGGGGGCUGCCAUCUUUUAGCAGAACUUCACUUGCGUUAGCAUUCCCAUUGACUCCCAUUCAUUUUGGCAUCACUUUGACAUCGAAUAACUUUACAUCUGAGGCGUUUAAAGACUCUGUUUGUCCAUUAUUUAUUUCUAAAGAUACACGAAAAUGUAUAAAGGGCUCCAUUACCUUCUAUGUUACAUUAUGGCCCCGUAUAAACAGUUUUUGUAAAAAAUAGGCUAACGAUUGCGUCAUAACCACUCGGCUCUCUGUCGCAUUACCGUACAGACAGGAGGAGAAGCUCGCAGGCAAUUAACUUAAUAUGGCAUACUGGCGUUACAUUUUAAAAUACUAUACAAAAUAAUUAAUCAGAAUACUUACUCCUGCUCACUCACGACAAAGAACUCCCCGCUCAAGCUCGCCGUCUCUGCAAGAUUAACGAUGGCAGUUUACACGCACAGCCACUUAGAAGAUUUACAUCUGUCAGACAGGUUGCUGACGUCGUCAAGCUUUGUUUGAGUCUGCGCAUCAGAAACGGAAGUGCUAAAAAACGCUAAAACUGGGCUUCAUUUGUCUCAAUUGAGUUCCAAUGGGGUCACUGUGUCCAUUUCUUUUACUGUCUAUGCUCCUCCCCACCUGCACGCGGCUACUCUCGCCGAUCCGUUGCAUCCAGCCACAGGCGAUGUCAAACACACCUCUAUACUUGAAGUUGGUGGAGAGCAAAAAAAAAAAAAAACUGCGCCCGACUGCAGAAUCCGAUACGUGAGCCUUGCGCUCGCGAGAGUUUUUUGACAUACGUCAGCAUGACCUCAGAGCAAGGCGGACGUAACUCGGACACUUUUCUAACUGGCAUGCAUCUCGCGCUGAUCACCGGUGAUCGGUUCUGCGCAGAUUUUGCUUAUCUCAAACUAGCCUAUUAAUACUGUUCCAGGAACAACUAUUCGGAUGGACUCAAAUCUGUUUUGGCGGGACAUCCGAGAGGUGACGAUACGUUAAAGCGGAGAAAUUAUAAACAAACAUCUUUAUAGAUUGUUAGAAUUAGGUUAGAUCUAGUGGAGGAAGAAUUUUGUGGGAGUAUCGGCCGACGGCCUGUAUAGGUCCGGUGUACGAUAC
Molecule: long non-coding RNA, 4422 nt
Organism: Carassius auratus (goldfish)
Lineage: Eukaryota; Metazoa; Chordata; Actinopteri; Cypriniformes; Cyprinidae
Source: Ensembl